CAAGUUAUGAUCGAAUCGAUUUCAGAAAAUCUUGAACUUCAAAAGGCCAUAUCUCCCAAACCGUUUGGCCAAUUUUGGUGGGGUUUUUUCCUACAAGUCACAUUUGAUCCCCUCUUUCCAAAAAUAUAAAUUUCAUGAGCCAAAACUUCACCAAUCAAAAUGGCAUUUUUUGACUUAUCUCAUUUAAAUGCAAGUUUGACCAAGGGUUGACUUUUUG
This 217-nucleotide long non-coding RNA is filed under the name Lathyrus oleraceus (garden pea). Its description in RNAcentral is "Pisum sativum (pea) long non-coding RNA (PSAT_LNC005851)". Lineage: Eukaryota; Viridiplantae; Streptophyta; Magnoliopsida; Fabales; Fabaceae. The record is from RNAcentral.